AGCGAACGCUGGCGGCAGGCCUAACACAUGCAAGUCGAACGAAGUCUUCGGACUUAGUGGCGGACGGGUGAGUAACACGUGGGAACGUACCUUUUGGUUCGGAACAACUCAGGGAAACUUGAGCUAAUACCGGAUAAGCCCUUCGGGGGAAAGAUUUAUCGCCAUUAGAGCGGCCCGCGUUAGAUUAGCUAGUUGGUGAGGUAAAGGCUUACCAAGGCUACGAUCUAUAGCUGGUCUGAGAGGAUGAUCAGCCACACUGGGACUGAGACACGGCCCAGACUCCUACGGGAGGCAGCAGUGGGGAAUCGUGCGCAAUGGGCGAAAGCCUGACGCAGCCAUGCCGCGUGAAUGAUGAAGGUCUUAGGAUUGUAAAAUUCUUUUACCAGGGACGAUAAUGACGGUACCUGGAGAAAAAGCCCCGGCUAACUUCGUGCCAGCCGCCGCGGUAA
This 449-nucleotide ribosomal RNA is filed under the name uncultured bacterium. Its description in RNAcentral is "partial 16S ribosomal RNA". It matches the Rfam family "Bacterial small subunit ribosomal RNA", at positions 29 to 523 of the family's 1533-position model. The record is from RNAcentral.